This 450-nucleotide ribosomal RNA is filed under the name uncultured bacterium. RNAcentral describes it as "partial 16S ribosomal RNA". It matches the Rfam family "Bacterial small subunit ribosomal RNA", at positions 338 to 795 of the family's 1533-position model. The record is from RNAcentral.
CCUACGGGAGGCUGCAGUAAGGAAUAUUGGUCAAUGGACGCAAGUCUGAACCAGCCAUGCCGCGUGGAGGAUGAAGGUCCUCUGGAUUGUAAACUUCUUUUAUUUGGGAAGAAACUCCCGAUUUCCAUCGGGAUUGACGGUACCAGAUGAAUAAGCACCGGCUAACUCCGUGCCAGCAGCCGCGGUAAUACGGAGGGUGCCAGCGUUAUCGGGAUUCACUGGGGCGAAAGGGUGCAGAGGAGGGAGUGUUGAAAUCUCCGGGCUUAACCCGGAAACUGCCAUUGGUACUAUUUGUCUUGAAUACUCUGGAGGUGAGCGGAAUAUGUCAUGUAGCGGUGAAAUGCUUAGAUAUGACAUAGAACACCCAGUGCGAAGGCAGCUCACUACGGAAAUAUUGACGCUGAGGCACGAAAGCGUGGGGAUCAAACAGGAUUAGAUACCCGGGUAGUC